UGGAGAACACUGUACAGGGGACUGGUGAUAUGUAAUGGAGGGUGUUGAUGGGGACUGGUGAUAUGUAAUGGAGGGUGUUGAUGGGGACUGGUGAUAUGUAAUGGAGGGUGUUGAUGGGGACUGGUGAUAUGUAAUGGAGGGUGUUGAUGACAAGGUAAAGCCAGCAUGGAGAACACUGUACAGGGGACUGGUGAUAUGUAAUGGAGGGUGUUGAUGGGGACUGGUGAUAUGUAAUGGAGGGUGUUGAUGGGGACUGGUGAUAUGUAAUGGGGAGUGUUGAUGGGGACUGGUGAUAUGUAAUGGAGGGUGUUGAUGGGGACUGGUGAUAUGUAAUGGAGGGUGUUGAUGGGGACUGGUGAUAUGUAAUGGGGGGUGUUGAUGGGGGCUGGUGAUAUGUAAUGGGGGGUGUUGAUGACAAGGUAAAGCCAGCAUGGGGAACACUGUACAGGGGACUGGUGAUAUGUAAUGGAGGGUGUUGAUGGGGACUGGUGAUAUGUAAUGGAGGGUGUUGAUGGGGACUGGUGAUAUGUAAUGGAGGGUGUUGAUGGGGACUGGUGAUAUGUAAUGGAGGGUGUUGAUGACAAGGUAAAGCCAGCAUGGAGAACACUGUACAGGGGACUGGUGAUAUGUAAUGGAGGGUGUUGAUGGGGACUGGUGAUAUGUAAUGGAGGGUGUUGAUGACAAGGUAAAGCCAGCAUGGAGAACACUGUACAGGGGACUGGUGAUAUGUAAUGGGGGUGUUGAUGGGACUGGUGAUAUGUAAUGGGGGGUGUUGAUGGGGACUGGUGAUAUGUAAUGGGGGGU
Oncorhynchus tshawytscha (Chinook salmon) is the source of this 804-nucleotide long non-coding RNA. Lineage: Eukaryota; Metazoa; Chordata; Actinopteri; Salmoniformes; Salmonidae. The record is from Ensembl.